RNAcentral lists this ribosomal RNA (253 nucleotides) under uncultured bacterium. Its description in RNAcentral is "partial 16S ribosomal RNA". It matches the Rfam family "Bacterial small subunit ribosomal RNA", at positions 524 to 776 of the family's 1533-position model. The record is from RNAcentral.
UACGUAGGGUCCGAGCGUUGUCCGGAGUUACUGGGCGUAAAGAGCUCGUAGGUGGUUUGUCGCGUUGUUCGUGAAAACUCACAGCUCAACUGUGGGCGUGCGGGCGAUACGGGCAGACUAGAGUACUGCAGGGGAGACUGGAAUUCCUGGUGUAGCGGUGGAAUGCGCAGAUAUCAGGAGGAACACCGGUGGCGAAGGCGGGUCUCUGGGCAGUAACUGACGCUGAGGAGCGAAAGCGUGGGGAGCGAACAGG